AUGCAAGUCGAGCGAGGGUCUUUACGACCCUAGCGGCGGACGGGUGAGUAACACGUAGGCAACCUGCCUCUCAGACCGGGAUAACAUAUGGGAAACUUAUGCUAAUACCGGAUAGGUUUUUGGAUCGCAUGAUCCGAAAAGAAAAGAUGGCUUCGGCUAUCACUGGGAGAUGGGCCUGCGGCGCAUUANCUAGUUGGUGGGGUAACGGCCUACCAAGGCGACNAUGCGUAGCCNACCUGANAGGGUGACCGGCCACACUGGGACUGANACACGCCCCAAACUCCUACGGGAGGCAGCAGUAGGGAAUUUUCCACAAUGGACGAAAGUCUGAUGGAGCAACGCCGCGUGAACGAUGAAGGUCUUCGGAUUGUAAAGUUCUGUUGUCANGGACNAACAAGUACCGNUCGAACAGGGCGGUACCUUGACGGUACCUGACGAGAAAGCCACGGCUAACUACGUGCCANCAGCCGCGGUAAUACNUAGGUGGCAAGCGUUGUCCGGAUUUAUUGGGCGUAAAGCGCGCGCAGGCGGCUAUGUAAGUCUGGUGUUAAAGCCCGGGGCUCAACCCCGGUUCGCAUCGGAAACUGUGUAGCUUGAGUGC
This 601-nucleotide ribosomal RNA is filed under the name uncultured bacterium. Its description in RNAcentral is "bacterial SSU rRNA". It matches the Rfam family "Bacterial small subunit ribosomal RNA", at positions 55 to 649 of the family's 1533-position model. The record is from RNAcentral.